Molecule: ribosomal RNA, 475 nt
Filed under: Streptococcus sp. oral taxon 064
Lineage: Bacteria; Bacillati; Bacillota; Bacilli; Lactobacillales; Streptococcaceae
Description: bacterial SSU rRNA
Rfam family: Bacterial small subunit ribosomal RNA
Source: RNAcentral
GACGAACGCUGGCGGCGUGCCUAAUACAUGCAAGUAGAACGCUGAAGAGAGGAGCUUGCUCUUCUUGGAUGAGUUGCGAACGGGUGAGUAACGCGUAGGUAACCUGCCUGGUAGCGGGGGAUAAUUAUUGGAAACGAUAGCUAAUACCGCAUAAUAGUAGAUGUUGCAUGACAUUUGCUUAAAAGGUGCAAUUGCAUCACUACCAGAUGGACCUGCGUUGUAUUAGCUAGUUGGUGAGGUAACGGCUCACCAAGGCAACGAUACAUAGCCGACCUGAGAGGGUGAUCGGCCACACUGGGACUGAGACACGGCCCAGACUCCUACGGGAGGCAGCAGUAGGGAAUCUUCGGCAAUGGACGGAAGUCUGACCGAGCAACGCCGCGUGAGUGAAGAAGGUUUUCGGAUCGUAAAGCUCUGUUGUAAGAGAAGAACGAGUGUGAGAGUGGUAAAGUUCACACGGUGACGGUAUCUACCA